AGAGUUUGAUUAUGGCUCAGAUUGAACGCUGGCGGCAGGCCUAACACAUGCAAGUCGAGCGGUAGAGAGAAGCUUGCUUCUCUUGAGAGCGGCGGACGGGUGAGUAAUGCCUAGGAAUCUGCCUGGUAGUGGGGGAUAACGUUCGGAAACGGACGCUAAUACCGCAUACGUCCUACGGGAGAAAGCAGGGGACCUUCGGGCCUUGCGCUAUCAGAUGAGCCUAGGUCGGAUUAGCUAGUUGGUGAGGUAAUGGCUCACCAAGGCGACGAUCCGUAACUGGUCUGAGAGGAUGAUCAGUCACACUGGAACUGAGACACGGUCCAGACUCCUACGGGAGGCAGCAGUGGGGAAUAUUGGACAAUGGGCGAAAGCCUGAUCCAGCCAUGCCGCGUGUGUGAAGAAGGUCUUCGGAUUGUAAAGCACUUUAAGUUGGGAGGAAGGGCAGUUACCUAAUACGUGAUUGUUUUGACGUUACCGACAGAAUAAGCACCGGCUAACUCUGUGCCAGCAGCCGCGGUAAUACAGAGGGUGCAAGCGUUAAUCGGAAUUACUGGGCGUAAAGCGCGCGUAGGUGGUUAGUUAAGUUGGAUGUGAAAUCCCCGGGCUCAACCUGGGAACUGCAUUCAAAACUGACUGACUAGAGUAUGGUAGAGGGUGGUGGAAUUUCCUGUGUAGCGGUGAAAUGCUUAUAUGUAGGAAGGAACACCAGUGGCGAAGGCGACCACCUGGACUGAUACUGACACUGACGUGCGAAAUCGUGAGGAGCAAACAGGAUUAGAUACCCUGGUACUCCACGCCGGAAAACGAUGUCAACUAGCCCCUUGGGAGCACUUGAGCUCUUACGUGGCGCAGCGUAAAGCAUUAAGGUUGACCGCCCUGGGGCAGUACGGUCUGCAAGGUUAAAAGCUCUAAUGUAUUUGACGG
RNAcentral lists this ribosomal RNA (924 nucleotides) under uncultured bacterium. Its description in RNAcentral is "bacterial SSU rRNA". It matches the Rfam family "Bacterial small subunit ribosomal RNA", at positions 8 to 916 of the family's 1533-position model. The record is from RNAcentral.